UUAGUAUGAGCAUAUUUUUCUAUGAAUCGGUUGCCGGUAGCUGGUGGUGAUUAUAAAGCCGAAAACGAUAACUGAAAGUAAGGUCACAUAUGAUGUGAUUUAUAAAUACUUUACUACCACCCAAUUGCAGUAAUGGUGCGCAUGGCCGUCUAAUGUUUGUGGAAAUUACUGUGUAGAAAAGAUAUAUUUCGCGUUGUGGCAAGUAACAAUUCAAUAUUCGCGAUGUCUCUGUUUUAUUUUUCCCUAACUACAGGAUUUCACUUGUUUAGCGGUACACCCUGUUACUCAAAUAUAAAGAUGCAAUUGAAUCAAUGAAAGAGCUCAGUGAAUAAAAGUGGUUACAAAAGGUUUAAGUUAUUAAAUAUUUCCCAGUUCAAAGUCAAGGUCGGCUUAAAGUGUGCCCCGGUAUAAGAAAAUGAUUUUAAAAGACACGACUGUAUUUGUAUUCAUCACAUUCCGAAAUUGCCUGCAUUGAAAUACUUCGGGGUUGUGAUUAAGUUUUGCAAUAAAAUAUAUAAAAAUUCGUAUAUAUGUAUGCACGUACGUACAUACAUUCAUAUUUAUACGACAACCUCUCAUAAUAUCAACCGAUGGUUGCAACCAUGCGCAUGGCUGCCCGAUAAUAGCAGAAAUGUCAGUGCUGAAAGGAUAAUACUAAUUCUACGACUAUUUUCUUUUUCGCUGAGUAAAAAAUUCGUUUGCUUUGGACACUUCCUCACUUAACCCAUGCUAUUAAGAUUAAACUUAAUCAGUGAAAAAAUCCAGUGAAAUUCUGAAAAAGAAGUCAGUGAAUGUUUUCAAAUUCAUAGUCAAAGUCAUUUCAAGAGAAAAUGAUUUUUGAAAACUCUACCUUGUGGAUUACAUAUGCCAAAUAUGAGUGUAGUAAAAACCUUCAAAAGUGGGCGAGGGCAUCAAUUUGAAUUUAGCUAUUGUGCGUAAAUUCAACAACAAAAAUAUAAUUUACCACAAUGAAUGGGACAGAGUGUGAAAAUAUGGCAGCAUCACUGAGAUGGUCAGAUCCAGCGAAUAUAAUAUCGUUAGCUAUACUUCUAUUUAUCAUACUCUUAGUAAUUUCCGGAAAUUCUUUGGUUAUAGCAGCAGUAUUCUGUUCAAACAAAUUACGUAGCGUUACGAAUUACUUAAUAGUUAAUUUAGCCGUUGCAGACUUGUUGGUAGGUUUAACUGUUCUUCCGUUCUCGGCAAUAUGGGAAGUUUUUAAGAUAUGGAUAUUCGGUGAUGUCUGGUGUCGUAUGUGGCUUGCUGUAGAUGUAUGGAUGUGCACAGCAUCCAUAUUGAACUUAUGUGCAAUAUCUUUAGAUAGAUAUGUAGCCGUUACCCGUCCAGUUGCCUACCCGAGUAUAAUGUCAACAAAACGGGCAAAAUCAUUGAUUGCUGGAGUUUGGGUGCUGUCAUUUGUUAUAUGCUUUCCCCCACUUGUUGGCUGGAAGGAUCAAAAGAAUUCAAAUCAAGCACCCGAUGAACGGAAUAAACAUUUGCCCGAACCAGAUACCGAAUAUGUAGAUUAAAAUUCCAAUUUCGAACUUUUUGUCGAAAAUAUGGUUUAAUCUGUAUUAUGGAAAUUCGGAGAGAAUCCUUUUCUAAUAAUAUUGACUUUACACUGUAUAUAACGGCAAAUGUUCGAUAAUACAGUCAGUGUACACACGAGAAAAUUACACCCGUUUCUAU
This 1686-nucleotide unclassified non-coding RNA is filed under the name Bactrocera latifrons. RNAcentral describes it as "octopamine receptor Oamb, transcript variant X4". The record is from RNAcentral. Lineage: Eukaryota; Metazoa; Arthropoda; Insecta; Diptera; Tephritidae.